RNAcentral lists this transfer RNA (76 nucleotides) under Actinomycetota bacterium. Its description in RNAcentral is "tRNA-OTHER". Lineage: Bacteria; Bacillati; Actinomycetota. The record is from RNAcentral.
GUAGUGGUGAACGGUCGCAAACCCUCGAACCGCCUUCGGAUGGCGGAGGUCACGAGUUCGAGUCUCGUCGGGUCCA